AAAGGGAGACCUAAUUCAGGUAAAAGACGAAAAAAAAGUAGUCGCUACCAAGAAUCAAUCCCAAAAGGUCGGAGCGAGGCGAAAUUGGCUUUCAAACUAGGUUCUGGGUUCAAACAAGACCUGAAUCAGGAACAAGGGCUAUUAGCUCAGGUGGUUAGAGCGCACCCCUGAUAAGGGUGAGGUCCCUGGUUCGAGUCCAGGAUGGCCCACCUGCACAGGUGGCAAAAACAAGAGAAGCGAGGAAUCAGCACCUUAUCUUACUUACAUAGUAAGAGAGAAUGCUGGCUCUGAGUAAAGAGUCCAGAGGAACCUUGAAAACUGCAUAGAGCUAGGUGAAAAAGCCAAAAAAGAAGACCGCAAG
This 361-nucleotide transfer RNA is filed under the name uncultured Microcystis sp. Its description in RNAcentral is "partial 16S-23S ribosomal RNA intergenic spacer". The stretch from base 136 to 209 matches the Rfam family "tRNA". Lineage: Bacteria; Bacillati; Cyanobacteriota; Cyanophyceae; Chroococcales; Microcystaceae. The record is from RNAcentral.